CUUCAUGGAGGUAAUACUGUCUUUGGAGUUGUGAUUUUUGUGCUUCUCUUGAUUUUCUACAGUGUUGGGUUCUUGUAUAUUACCAUAAUUUGGCAUUUGGCAAGUGUGAUUUCUGUUUUAGAGGAAAUUUAUGGGAUCAAAGCCAUGAUCAAGAGCAGGAACUUGAUAAAGGGUAAGCUUGGGGUUGCAGUGGCUCUUUUUAUUUUGCUGGGGAUUUGUUUUGGUGGAAUUCAACUUCUUUUUGAGGCAUUUGUGGUGCUGGAAUGGCCACAAGACUUGGGAAUCAGAAUUGGAAUUGGAAUCCUUUGCUUCUU
RNAcentral lists this unclassified non-coding RNA (314 nucleotides) under Hevea brasiliensis (rubber tree). Lineage: Eukaryota; Viridiplantae; Streptophyta; Magnoliopsida; Malpighiales; Euphorbiaceae. The record is from RNAcentral.